Molecule: ribosomal RNA, 465 nt
Filed under: uncultured bacterium
Lineage: Bacteria
Description: partial 16S ribosomal RNA
Rfam family: Bacterial small subunit ribosomal RNA
Source: RNAcentral
CCUACGGGAGGCAGCAGUGGGGAAUUUUGCGCAAUGCUCGUAAGAGUGACGCAGCGACGCCGCGUGAAUGACGAAGGCCUUCGGGUCGUAAAGUUCUUUCGACAGGGAAGAAAAUGCCUAUAAGUAACUGUGUAUGUAUUGACGGUACCUGUAUAAGCAGCCCCGACUAACUCCGUGCCAGCAGCCGCGGUAAUACGGAGGGGGCGAGCGUUGUUCGGAGUGACUGGGCGUAAAGAGCACGUAGGCGGUGUUGUAAGUCAUUAGUCAAAGACUAGAGCUCAACUUUAGUAAGGCUAGUGAUACUAUAAUACGAGAGUAUCAGAGAGGAUUGCAGAAUUCCUGGUGUAGCGGUGAAAUGCGUAGAUAUCAGGAGGAAUACCGUUAGCGAAGGCGGCAAUCUGGCUGGAAACUGACGCUGAGGUGCGAAAGCGUGGGUAGCAAACAGGAUUAGAUACCCCAGUAGUC